Molecule: ribosomal RNA, 720 nt
Filed under: uncultured bacterium
Lineage: Bacteria
Description: partial 16S ribosomal RNA
Rfam family: Bacterial small subunit ribosomal RNA
Source: RNAcentral
AGGCCUGCGGGUUGUAAAGCACUUUCAGUAGAGAAGAAAAGCCGAAGGUUAAUACCCUUCAGUCUUGACGUAACCUACAGAAGAAGCACCGGCUAACUCCGUGCCAGCAGCCGCGGUAAUACAGAGACCACGAGCGUUAUCCGAAUUUAUUGGGUGUAAAGGGUCCGCAGGCGGUCCUAUAAGUCAUGUGUUAAAUUUCUGGGCUCAACCCAGAACCAGCGCAUGAUACUGUAGGACUAGAGGCCGGGAGAGGUACACGGAAUUGCUGGUGUAGCGGUAAAAUGCGUUAAUAUCAGCAAGAACACCAAAUGCGAAGGCAGUGUACUGGAACGAGCCUGACGCUCAGGGACGAAAGCGUGGGUAGCGAAUGGGAUUAGAUACCCCGGUAGUCCUAGCCGUAAACGAUGGGURCUGGGUGUAGGGGGUAUGAACCCYCCCUGWGCCGAAGMUAACGCAUUAAGUGCUCCGCCUGGGGAGUACGGUCGCAAGGCUGAAACUCAAARGAAUUGACRGGGGCCCGCACAAKCGGUGGAGCAUGURGUUCAAUUCKACGCWMCGCGAAGAACCUUAACGGGGUUUGAAGUKCACSGGAUCGCUCUAGAGAUAGAGUUUUCCUUCGGGACCCGWGUAKAGGUGCUGCAUGGCUGUCGUCWGCUCGUGUCGUGAGAUGUUGGGUKAASUCCCRCAACGAGCGCMACCCUUGMCUCCUGUUGCCAUCWG